CGCCAGACUCCUACGGGAGGCAGCAGUGGGGAAUAUUGCACAAUGGGGGAAACCCUGAUGCAGCGACGCCGCGUGAGUGAAGAAGUAUUUCGGUAUGUAAAGCUCUAUCAGCAGGGAAGAAAAUGACGGUACCUGACUAAGAAGCCCCGGCUAACUACGUGCCAGCAGCCGCGGUAAUACGUAGGGGGCAAGCGUUAUCCGGAUUUACUGGGUGUAAAGGGAGCGUAGACGGCAUGGCAAGUCAGAUGUGAAAGCGCGGGGCGCAACCCCGGGACUGCAUUUGAAACUGUCAGGCUGGAGUGCAGGAGAGGUAAGUGGAAUUCCUAGGGUAGCGGUGAAAUGCGUAGAUAUUAGGAGGAACACCAGUGGCGAAGGCGUCUUACUGGACCGAAACUGACGUUGAGGCUCGAAAGCGUGGGGAGCAAACAGGAUUAGAUACCCCGGUA
This 446-nucleotide ribosomal RNA is filed under the name uncultured bacterium. Its description in RNAcentral is "bacterial SSU rRNA". It matches the Rfam family "Bacterial small subunit ribosomal RNA", at positions 329 to 792 of the family's 1533-position model. The record is from RNAcentral.